GGGAGAGAAAGACGCGGGUACUCAAUACAUAUUUGGCAACACUGGGUUGCAUACCAUUAAAUUAUAAAAUAAAUUUUACCGAGAGAAAUAAUAUUUUAAGUACUGUUGUAAGACAAGGAGCUACAUACGCUAUCCUUGUCUAAUCUCCUAAGGAAUUUACUCGACGCGUCUUAGUACAUAUGCACCCAAAUGCCGUGACGGGCGCCGAAUAUAUUCAACUUAUUAUAACAAUCACUCAGGUUCAAUUAUUUAUCAAUUAUUUAUCGCGAUCUACUCUAUUGAAGGACCAGCGAUAGCCGAUGCAACAAAUGACGAUACAAUUGACUUACCGGCGUUGAUAACAAUUUACUUCUGGAACUUUUGGUUAAUAAAUAUCACAUGAACUUUAUUUUUACUUUAGUAUAAAAAAAUUCUAAUUAUCCAAAUUAAAUGAACUUUAACUAUUUAAUAACUUUAUUACGGCAACUGGGCCAGAACAAUUUACUCAAAAAUGAUCACGGACAACAAUACGUCUUAUCUUUACAAAAUCCCGGUCUUCUCUCCUUAUUUUUCGUUGAUUUUUCCGAGGGAGGGGUAUCACUCCCGUGUUAUCCCCUCUCAUGACCUUGGACCCGAAAUUUUCAAUUAAAAUAAAAUAUUUAAAAUCAUUAAACGACCUGAGUUAUGUUAUAAUAAUAAAUUAAAUAAUAUUUCCUAUUUAUCAACAUAAACAUAAUAAUUAUUAACCCUUUAAACGAUAGAAUAAUAAUUAUUUCAGUGCACCACGUGGCUGGAGAAAAAUAUUGAUUUUUAUCCCCACUACAUCGACUUACUCUCCCUUCGGUCGAUAUUUAUAUGUAUGCUCUACACACACGCGUGCUACUGACUGGAAUGAAAAUAUCGAUUAAGUACAUAAAUUCAAAAUAAUUAUCAAAACAUAUAUAUAAACAUAAUAAACAAUAAUAUCAAUAAAUUCAUAAUUAAAUCACAUUAAAAUAAUCUAUCAAAAUAAUAUAAAUAUUUAAAUAAUAAUAAAUUAUAAUAAAUAAAUAGGCUUGAUUUGAGCUAGGAGGUGUUGUUAAAUUCACGGCGAGAUGGACAAGCGCGUGCAGCGAUUCACGUUUGAAUCGCUACGUGACACACUAAAGAAAAAAAGAUAUGGCCGUUCGGUGGCCCUGCGGGCCAGCCCCAAAACUUCCCGCUGUCUUCGAGUUCGAGUAGCUCGAAAACAUUACUGUGAAUAUAGUUUUGAGCUCUUCGAGCUCGAAAAUAAUAUUGCAUGCAAUUGUUUCCCGCAUGAAAAAAGUAUAUAGGUGAAAAGUAUAUCUCAAAUUCUGCCCUGUUAUGACAAAUGUUACGUCUAACAUGCAAUAAAGACAAAUAUCAUGAACAGUCUCUUAUUUCGAGUCAAGACAGUUAAGUCCUUUACUCUUGUGACGGAGACCUCGUCGUUACGGUAAUGAGUAUGAGGAAUAAGAUCAAUAUGGAGAAUUAUUCUAGAGAAAUAAUAAUAAAAACGACUGGAUAACUUACAAUUGUUAUUUAUAAAAUUUAUUCAGCUUCCGUUGUACAAAUUGAUGGUUGUUGUUGUUUGGAAGAUCUUUGAUUUUCUUUGUAAAUUGUAUAGUGUACCGGGCAAGGAACCCAUAUUCAACGUCUGCUCAGUCAGUACCCCUGGGUGGAUGUGGUUUGGCAGUAUACUGAGAGUUGAGAACCGUGCGGAAUAAUUUCUUUAACGCGACGCGUGGUACAACAAAUAUUACGACGGAGUUUUUAGCUUAGCUGAGAUUAAAAGACUGGACAAUUAGACCGAAAAACUGCGGGUUUAUAUAGUCCGAAAUCGAGGGGAACCGAGCCGUGCCCCUGGAUCUUGUACACCAGAAAAAGAGAUGCUUGCUGUACCAGCGUUUAUUUUUAUGUGCUUCUCCUCCUGCGCUGUAUUCUGCACGUACGGUACCCGAGGUUAAGUCAAGAGAGAAGAAAAAUAAUUAAAUCAUUUCUUUAAUUAUUCGAUAUUCAAGUUGAGGGUUUCUUUCUAAAUAAAUUUUCAAUUCGGAUAUUGGUUAUCCCAAAAAAAUUCAGCGUCUCCUUAAAAGAGUGAGAAUUAAUGCAUGUUUAGUUUAGGAAGAUUCUGGAAGCGUAAACAUGGACUUGUUCUUAGUGGCACGCAUCAUCCCGGCUUGGCCUCCAAGUUAACGAAUGGAGGGGUGCCAUCUAAGAGGUAUCGUCCAACACCAGAGCGGCUACUGGGUGGUUCCUGUUACUGGGUAAUUAAAACGAGAGCUCUUGGGGGACAGCUAGAAUCAUCGGUUGACAAGCAUGAUGUCAGGGCCGAGGUCUUAUGGCUCAUAAAUCACGCGACUGCGGUCUUGAGUAGAAAAAAAGGAAUUAGAGAACUAACGCGAGUGUGUCUUAGUUUUACUCGUGAAAUUAGGAGUCCUCUCUUGCUCUUUCCUUCUCAACAUUAAAAAGAGGCACACUGAAUUCGAGAGUGAGUGUACCUAGUAUGUGUGUUGAGUAAUAUAAGUUAUUACUCUGUACACAUGCAGGCUACGUCAGCUAUGUUUUCUGUUUUUAUGUUCUCCUAUUUCAGGUGACCGUGUGUAUGAGCCCCCUUACGUGGAUGUGUACGCGCUCCGGCACUUUUUCCUUUAUUAUGCUAUGUAUACGCAUUACAUAUGUAAUCUUGCUAAGAGUUUUAAAACAUAAGUGGCAUUAGCUAUUGGAAUUACAGUUUAGUUAAAAUCACGGUUUAGUUUUUGUACAAGUGAUGAAUGUGUUUACGGGAGAUCAAUUUUUUGUGAGACAUGUUCAAUGGUUACCUCAUCAGGUAAUUCGUAUGGUGGCGGAGAUUCUAAGCAAGCUGACGAACGUUUCCAGCUAUCGGCUCCUGGAAGUGGUAGACAUGCUUGACGAAAUUACGACUGUUACCGCCCUCCGAUUACCCUGUGUUUUAGAGAAUUUUUACAAUACUACGGAAAGGAUGAAUGCCGUCUGACUAAUUCGCCACGUCAAUGCCCGAAUUUCUUUCGAGGAUUAUAAUGCCCCAUAUUCAUACACGGGGGAUGUAGAGGGUAUUCGAGAGAUGGCUAGUGUAUUAACUCGGUUUCUUGAUUGAAUAAAGAAAUACAAGUUA
This is a long non-coding RNA of Microplitis demolitor, 3115 nucleotides long. RefSeq lists it as uncharacterized. The record is from RefSeq and is a predicted model, not a curated record. The transcript is spliced from 2 exons. NCBI's taxonomy places the organism in Eukaryota, Metazoa, Arthropoda, Insecta, Hymenoptera, Braconidae.